This is a long non-coding RNA of Ornithodoros turicata, 3003 nucleotides long. RefSeq lists it as uncharacterized. The record is from RefSeq and is a predicted model, not a curated record. The transcript is spliced from 3 exons. NCBI's taxonomy places the organism in Eukaryota, Metazoa, Arthropoda, Arachnida, Ixodida, Argasidae.
CACAGGACGGCGACGCGUGAAAGCUCUGUUCACUGAUCCAGUGGCUCUUUUUGGGAAACCAUAUAAAUAUGCGAACGUUAGCAAACGAUAUCACAUAAGGCGCACCCACCACGUCAUUGAACAGUAUUUUUGCAGAGGCUGUAGUUGUCAUGAAUAAAUACUGUAAAAUCAUUUAAUUUCGCAGCCCUAAAUUUUCGCGAAUCGAGUAGGGAUAUAUUCGCAACAACUAAAUUUCGCGCACUCCACGAGUUCCUCGAAUUUUCUCGAUUCGCAAAAUUCGCGAAAAUUAAGGUCUCGCGAAAUUAAAGGGUUUUACAGUAUAAACUUGUCCAGCCCGAGUGGGUUGAGUCUGCCAUGCUUCGCGCGCAUUAUAAGCCCCGCAAUCCCGCGAUUGAAAACACCCUCUCUGACUGUGUGCUUUUCGCCGGCACACACAAAAUGCACUAUUUGCUACGCACUUUUCGAGCGCAGAAAGAGCGACGGGCAAUCCACGUGAGAGGACCAAGUGCUUUGGAGCGAUCGAGCUGAUUGGUGUAGGCGCUAAUCUGUUGGUCAUCUAGAUAGACCGCUUUCCAACCCAGAUAAGGCGAAAGUCGCGUCAUUUCUGCGCUCGGAAAUGGCGUACUUCUUGUUUCGGCUAAUUUGCAUAGCGACAUUCAGCGUCGGAUAUUUCAACAUACGUGCGCGUUAAAGAAUUUCUUAAAUAUGGAAUGGCUUUCAACGAUGAGUAUCUUCCGUUCUGCUAUCCCGUUUUUGCUAGAAAUUCCUUAAUUAAAGAAUUAAUGAAUUUGAGGUAAUUAAUGAUCUUAUAGUUACAUACUUUCUUCGAGAUAAUAUUCGCAUGACCAACUCAAAAGCGGCAUGUAUUUCGUCCCGCUAUUUUUUAAACAAAAAUUAUGUGACGAAUAAAAAACAAGACACCAUGCAUAUGGAUAAUGACCAGUGCUAUGGUGUUGGUGGAUGACCGGCAAACAACCUGCAAGAAUUAAAUGAUAAGUUUUCCUGGAGUUGUGUGCCUCCAGGGUCGACUAUGAAACGAAACUAAAGCAUAAACAGCAUAUCAGGAGAUGAAAUUGUCACUGCUAAAAACACCACAAAUGAAGCCUGGAACCUAAGGUGAAAGAAAAACAAACAAAAUAUUAGGUAUGGGAGAUAUUCAUUUAUAGAAAGUGGAUCAAAAUGGGCACAUUACACAGCCGCGCCGAUUUUUCAACAUCGGCGGCGGCGGCAGCGGCGCGCCGACAGUUUUGGUACGGCGGCGACGGCGAGGCCCCGACGUCCGGCGGCGGCGCUUCGGCGCGGCGGCGCACACCUCUAGAGAGAGGUGCGGCAACCGGCCGCCAUGUUGGAGGGCCCACUGACGCCGGCUGAAACAAUGGGAAGCGAUUUGAUGUGAAAUAUUUAUUGCGCUUUAAACGCUCCUCAUUGCUGAUUAGCACGCAUCUUUCUUAGGAAUCAGUGUGCUGGUGUAUUCCUACCGUGCUUCGGCGGUGUGUCUGUAGUUUUCAUGGUAAUUACGUUCUUUUUCUUCUCCGCUUCCUGUACGCCGAAUAUGGGCCACUGAUCUCGAUUGUAAAAGGCUGGAUCGCGGAUGGGGAGCGCGAGCGUGAAGAAACCGGCCGCCAUCUUACUGUACCCACAACAGUCGCCGCAGCGAUCAUGGCAACUUCUUGCAAUUACGGUCGUACCAACCGUACUGGCAAGGUUACAGGGCCUAAAUUUAUACAGGUUUCGUCAUGAGGGCUACCCAGUGAAUAAUCUGUGCAGUGUGAUACGGCUGAGUGUACAGGUUACUUCACAGCUGCCUCGACAUACUCAAGAAAUGGGUGCAGAACCUGCGUAAUGCCCACAAACCUUGACUACCACAGCACCUCCAGAAAGUAAAGGCAUAUGUGUCACAUGGGAUUUUUAAAGGCAUUCACAGUAUAUAAUACCUUGUAUGAACUGUUGUAGAUCUAAGCAGCCUCUACAGUACACUCUCAGAAAUUAAAACUUGUCAUGGAACUGUGAUAAUUGUUUCAGUUAAUAGGCAUGCACAUAUACGCUAUAAGAAGAAAAUUAUUUAUUGAGAAUGCACUUCUCUGGCUACUCAUGUUGUUUACAUCUACUGUUGAUCACAUUCAUUUAUCACAUACAGUGAAACCUUCCUAUGUUGGACACCACGGUGCAGCAGAAGCGUGUCCUACUUAUAGAGGUGUCCGAGUUACAGAAUAUGAGGGAAACAAAAAAUGGAAAAGAUCACAGCUGUGUUGCCGGAAAUGUCCCCCUUCUUCAAUUUAUGGUCCUGAGUGGUACCUGGUGGCAGUGGUACCUACUACCCACUCUUCACUGAUAAUUAUUACUGAUUUUAGUAGAUUCAAUUCUGUUCAGAUUCCACUCAAUGGCAUUACCUCUGGAGCUUUUUGAGCAGCGAUGACUUGUCUCUGAAGCGUCAGCCCACUUUUCGUUGCUUUGGUGCAGUGUGCGUUCAAAGGCUCUAGACAAACCGAAGACAAAUGCUCACACAAAAAAUUACGAUGUACACUGACAGCACUUGUUUUUGGACUCGGAAAAACUAAAGCAACAAAGGGUUUUGUCCGACUUAGCAGGGAAAACCCUGUCCAACUUACGAGAUAGGGAGGUGUCCGAUAUAGAGAAUUUCGUCCCCGUGUAGUUUCAAUGGGAGCAAUGAAAUCUUGUCCGACAUGGGGAGUUGUCCGACUUUGGAGGUUUUACUGUAUUAUAUUCUUAUAUAUUAUUAUUAUAUUAUCACAUAUAGACAUAUUAUCACAUAUCACAAGAGAUAAUUUAAAAUUUAGCAUAUAUGACAAAAUAUCAGGAGGGGAGUUGCUAUUCAUUGCUCAUUCCAACCUAAAAUUGAGAGAGCGUACCUGACCAUUGUCAUUCCUAAAAUAUAUAUUGCCAUUGUAGCAAGGUCACAAAACAAUAAAUGUAGUAUUUUGCGACCUCCCUGCACGUUCGUUGUAUCCUGAAACGCAUAAGUGCAAGAAAUAAAUCUUGAAC